This 380-nucleotide ribosomal RNA is filed under the name uncultured eukaryote. Its description in RNAcentral is "partial 18S ribosomal RNA". It matches the Rfam family "Eukaryotic small subunit ribosomal RNA", at positions 592 to 976 of the family's 1831-position model. The record is from RNAcentral.
CAAUAGCGUAUAUUAAAGUUGUUGCGGUUAAAACGCUCGUAGUUGGAUUUCUGCUGAGGACGAUCGGUCCGCCCACUGGGUGAGUAUCUGGCUCGGCCCUGGCAUCUUCUUGGAGAACGUUGCUGCACUUGACUGUGUGGUGCGGUAUCCAGGACUUUUACUUUGAGGAAAUUAGAGUGUUUCAAGCAGGCGCACGCCUUGAAUACAUUAGCAUGGAAUAAUAAGAUAGGACCUUAGUUCUAUUUUGUUGGUUUCUAGAGCUGAGGUAAUGAUUAAUAGGGAUAGUUGGGGGCAUUCGUAUUUAACUGUCAGAGGUGAAACUCUUGGAUUUGUUAAAGACGGACUACUGCGAAAGCAUUUGCCAAGGAUGUUUUCAUUGA